GACGAACCGAGCGAACGUUGUUCGGAAUCACUGGGCUUAAAGGGCGCGUAGGCGGGUCAGCAAGUCCGGGGUGAAAUCUUUCGGCUUAACCGGAAAAGUGCCUUGGAUACUGCUGGUCUCGAGGGAGGUAGGGGUCUGUGGAACUUCGGGUGGAGCGGUGAAAUGCGUUGAUAUCCGAAGGAACGCCGGUGGCGAAAGCGACGGACUGGAUCUCUUCUGACGCUGAGGCGCGAAAGCCAGGGGAGCAAACGGG
Molecule: ribosomal RNA, 253 nt
Filed under: uncultured bacterium
Lineage: Bacteria
Description: partial 16S ribosomal RNA
Rfam family: Bacterial small subunit ribosomal RNA
Source: RNAcentral